CCGCAAUGUCCUCGCUGCAAUUUCUAGUACACUAGUGCAAAUCUGUCUACCCGGGCUGGGACGCUCACUCCCCGCUGCAGUGUAGAUAUACCCUUGGUAUCUGUUCUGUAACAUUUUUGAAAAUAUAGCCCUUAGUGGUUAGGAUUUUAUACCAUACCACAUACACAUACUGUAUAGGUGUUCAGAUAAACAUAAUUUCUGUUGUACUUUGUUUUCCAUUGGUAUCAUUGUUCUGACCAUUAGGUGUUCAUUAUUUUGUUGUUGGGUUUUUUUUAAGUAAAAUAAACGAAAAUCUAGCACAUUUAAUUUUUAUCUGCAGAUGUAGUCCCAAUUUUUCUACUAUGCAGCUGCUGCUGUCAUUUCCCCAUGGUCUAGUAGUAUGUCUGUGUGUGAGCAUUGCUUUAACAAACUCCUGCUAUUGAAAUGUUUCUUGCGUUGUUUUAGUUUACAGGGGGAUUUCAGAAGUGGAUCCAGUCAAUUUCAGCUUUAUUUGUAUAAAUUUUAAAUAUUUCCACUUUGAAACCCCAGGUUUUACAGGAAAUUUCCAGGAGCUCAAGAUAGGACAAUUUGGAGAUGCCAGACUACACCAUAGAAUUGGCUUCUCUCCCCCCUCCGCUCCCCCCAAGCAUUUGAAUCUACUUUUUCCGCAAGCCAAGGAUGUAGCAGGCCCUCCAGGAAGGCGGGGAAAGCCGGGUCGACGAGGAGAACCUGGACCUGCAGUAAGUACCGUGGAUUUUACUCUUGGGUCAACAAAGUUAAGGCAAUUUUUUUUCCCCUUUCUGUAUCAUUUCACAAGAACAGCCUUUUUUGGUAGAGGUGUGUAUGGAAGGAAAAUUGGUACCAGAUGCUGCUUUUUUUCCCCCUCCCUCCCCCUCUUGAUUGUAGACAAGUAGUUUAAAAAAAAAAGCUUUAAAAAUGCUUAACUCGCUGCCCUAAGGAGCCUGUGGCAAUUUAAAACCCAGCAAAUAUUCUGUAAAAAACAUAGUUCUCUUUUUUUUUUUAAAGAAUUCUUUGGUCAGUCUCCAUGCUCAAAUAUGUGCACACUGUAUUAAUAUUUUAAUGUUUUGAUGUUUUAAAUUUGAAAACUGUCCAUCUCGCUUCUCCCAUUUAUUGUGUCUCAGUUGGUUGAUACUGCAUGUCGUUAGUGAUGUUGAUAGCCCCACACCACUGUGAUUCAGCCAAAAAAAAUGUAUAGCUUUCUUCUCUCUUCGGGGCUGUUUGGUGAGUAAUAAACAUCUCUCGCUGCAUGGCCGGAACCUUUAU
This 1263-nucleotide long non-coding RNA is filed under the name Chrysemys picta bellii (western painted turtle). Its description in RNAcentral is "lncRNA (ENSCPBG00000008852.1)". Lineage: Eukaryota; Metazoa; Chordata; Testudines; Emydidae. The record is from RNAcentral.